Molecule: ribosomal RNA, 447 nt
Filed under: uncultured bacterium
Lineage: Bacteria
Description: partial 16S ribosomal RNA
Rfam family: Bacterial small subunit ribosomal RNA
Source: RNAcentral
AACGAACGCUGGCGGCAGGCUUAACACAUGCAAGUCGAACGCCCCGCAAGGGGAGUGGCAGACGGGUGAGUAACGCGUGGGAAUCUACCCAUCCCUACGGAACAACUCCGGGAAACUGGAGCUAAUACCGUAUACGCCCUACGGGGGAAAGAUUUAUCGGGGAUGGAUGAGCCCGCGUUGGAUUAGCUAGUUGGUGGGGUAAAGGCCUACCAAGGCGACGAUCCAUAGCUGGUCUGAGAGGAUGAUCAGCCACAUUGGGACUGAGACACGGCCCGAACUACUACGGGAGGCAGCAGUGGGGAAUAUUGGACAAUGGGCGCAAGCCUGAUCCAGCCAUGCCGCGUGAGUGAUGAAGGUCUUAGGAUUGUAAGGCUCUUUCACCGAUGAAGAUAAUGACGGUAGUCGGAGAAGAAGCCCCGGCUAACUUCGUGCCAGCCGCCGCCGUAA